Long non-coding RNA from Alosa alosa (allis shad), 235 nucleotides. RefSeq lists it as uncharacterized. Lineage: Eukaryota; Metazoa; Chordata; Actinopteri; Clupeiformes; Clupeidae. The record is from RefSeq and is a predicted model, not a curated record. The transcript has 3 exons.
GUUGACGGGAGGGAAAAGCAGCAACAUGGAUUCGGUCACUUCAGCUGCAAAACCCCUUUCUCUCACAACUCCCGUGCCGACUUUCCGAGCGCUGUGCACCAUGCCCGGAAGAGGCAAUACAGAAGGCCAAGGCGGAGGCUAACACUCACGACUGCGUUCUCAGCGGGUUAUCGGAGGUGACUGCAGCUGUGCGGGUGCCGCGUGUUCCAUGGCUGCUUUGCGUCCCUGGACCCCG